CUGUACUUCAUGGUUUGAAGAAUAGCUGGGUGCAGGAGGAAAUGACUCCACUGUAGUUGCACACCAGUUACCAUUGACUUGAGCAUGGACCAAGUUACAAAGGUGCAAACCAAAACCGAUAAUAUCAACUUUUAAGGUUUCUCCAUUCUUCUCACCAGGAACACCAUUCCACCCUAGAGGGAUAACUGAAGUGGCUAUGCGAAUAACUGGCAAUUCUACAAUUUGAGCAAGCUUUACAGCACCUGCAACUGCAAGCCCAAGCCACUGUUGCAAAUGCACAAACUGAGGCACUUGCUCCAUUCCGGGAAAAGAUGAAGCAGCAUCACCCAUGCACAUGUCAUAGAUUCUCUGAAAUCGAAACCGAUAAGAUCUCAUUGAAUGUGAUUGAAAUCGUUCCCUUAGUUCAGCAAUCACAGAUCUGACCGAUGUUAAUUUUGAGUACUCUGCACCAGAUAGUAAUUCCACUGAAGAAUUUCCCAAUAGAUACAGCUGACCAAAUGGGACAUAUGAAGGUAAAUAAGGUACCCUACGCCAGUUUCUUCUAUCUCCACUUCUAUCAUUUCCUUUUUCGCCUACUUUUCCAGUCAUUGAUUCCUCUGGUGGCCCAUUAUUAGUGUCAGAUAAUGGUUUAAGAGAUAUGCCAUCAGAACCCUCUUGGAUUUCGAGAGACUGAGGUGCAACUACAUCCUCAAUUGUAGAUGUUACACCAGAAUUAGUUGUCACUGAUGUCCCUAUGGGACCAACUUGUUUUCCUGUGUACUUAUUGAAUUGCCUUCUAAUUCCCUCCAAAGGAACAAGCCUCGAAAGUCU
This 810-nucleotide unclassified non-coding RNA is filed under the name Hevea brasiliensis (rubber tree). Lineage: Eukaryota; Viridiplantae; Streptophyta; Magnoliopsida; Malpighiales; Euphorbiaceae. The record is from RNAcentral.